CUGAGAUUUACUGUUCAUUUAAUUCCGCCUCACUGAAUAACAUUAAAAUUCUAAUCCAUGUUUUUCUCACGGCCAAAAAAUAAACUUGUGCCCCCUCCAGUGUACAAACAGCAAAAUUGCAAUGUUAUAAAGGUCAAAUAUAUGACAUCCAGUCAAAUUAUCCUGUCAAAACACAUUUUGUUGGACUGCAAAAGGUAUGAGGAGGAAAGAACUGAGCUAGAGAUGCAGAUUGGAAAACAAAACAUGACACUAGAGAACUUGCUGGGGAAAACAUCUGGGAAAAUGCACCGCCCCCUAAUAAACUAUUUAAAAAAUGCUGGGAUAAGUGAGAGACUUUAGUAAUCUAGUAGGAAUAUCUACUAUACAGCUAUUUGUCUCUUUAUUUUCUUUUAUUUAUGUAUUAUUGUGUUGGUAUUAUUAUUAUUAAUUUGUUUCUUUUAUUUUUUAUUUUAUUAUAUUUUCCUUAUUUAUUAUUUGGUUGUUUUUCUUUUCUUGCCCAUCUACUGCCUACACUCCAGUCCAGUAGGUGGCGGUAAUGCACCUUUAGUGGUUUGCCAACCGCCAUUAAAACAUGAAGAAGAAGAAGAAGAAGAAGAAAUUAUCCUGUCUUUCGCGGUCAAAACUGCAUCCACUCACAAUCAUGCGUCAGUGCGCAUCUUACCGCAUGUCAUUUAUCACCAGCACAUGGCUAUAUGAUGAAGUUAAGUAAUAGCUCGUAACCUUAAAAUGGAGAAGUACAAAGAUUUCGGCCCGCAACCACAGCAAGCACCGCUGAUCCCCAGUCCUCAGACAGCAGUGGCCCAGGUCCCUCUAACACCGCAUCCGUAGCAAGUGUACUCAUUGCUACUAGCCCAGGUCACACUGAUGCAGACAGCGAUGUAUGAGUUGAAACGCCAUCUCUUCUUCACAAGCAGUUCGCAGAAAAAACAUCAAAGAUGCGCAGAUAUGAUGAGAAAUAUAUUUCUUUGGGCUUUACAUACGCUGACAGUGAAGAAAAUCCCCAGCCACAGUGUGUAUAUGUGCAAACGUACUCUUUCAUAACUGCAUGAAACCAGCAUUUCUGCGCAGACAUUUAGAAACAAAGCAUGCCAUUUACUUUUUGCUAAAUAAACCUCGAGAGCUUUUUGAAAGACAUUUAAGACAACUCAGAAGUAGUAAGACCCUCAUAACAGUGUAGGAAAACCUAAAUAGGAAGGUCUGGAAGCAUCCUACAUGGUGAGCUACAGAGUGGCUGAGACAGGAAAACCCCAUACUAUUGUGGAGGACUUCAUUCUUCCUGCUGCAGCUGAUAUAGCUGGUUUAAUGCUUGGCGAAAAGCCCCCAAAACAAAAAAACAAUAGAGAGGAUGCCAUUUGGUAAGGUGAAAUUGAUUAAAUUUAUAUUUCUCAAUUUAUUUAAUCAUUCCUCUCUUUCCCUUGUAAACAUUACACAAUCAUACAUGUUCAACAGUCUUCACCACAUGUCAAGCAUAAUCAUGUUUGAUGUUUCCCUAUUUUCAGCAACGAAUGAUUUAAUCCAGAAUGUCCUAUUCGGAGCCGAGUGAUAAUUGUAUUUUCUCUCCUAUUUUUUGAGACCUAUUCUCCCUUUCCCAACCUGUUUUUGGCUAUUGAAUAGGUGCCUUCCCUUUUUUCCUUUGUCCCACAUUUCACAUUCACAAGUUCUCUCAUUCUUCCUUCUACUGCUUCUUUACCUAGUGGUAUAUGGUAUAUAUGGUAUAACUUUAACAUCCACAUGAUCCAUUGUCCACUAUUUCAUUUCCUCAUACUCCCACAUGUGCUGCUACACAAAGAAAUCUCAGAACCAUCCCUAGUUUCUGAAUUCUAAGCAGAUGUGUAAGUAUCUCAUAUACUAAAUCUUGUCUUGAAUCAGACUUCCCAUUUAAUAAGCUAUUUAAAGGUGAUUGAGAGUCUGGACAAAUAGCAGCAAAAUCACUAUAAACUCUGUUGUAAAAACUGAUACAUAAUUAGUUGUCCAUUUUUUUAAUGCUGCCUUUGAACCUCUUAAUAUAUACCACCGCAGCUGUUUUUUCUAAUGUAGGAUCUUUUGAACCAUUGGUGAAUAUGUGGGGCAUUGAAGAGUAUUCCUGAUCUAAAUACUGCUGUACAAUAACCUCCUUAGGUAUAUAUGUUUCAUUCUUAACUUUAUAUUAUAGAUGGAAAUUGACUUGAGCCAUGGGGAACAACCAGGGAGGUUUAUUUAGUACUACAAUUGUUGGAUUAACUGAAGUUUCUGUAACUCCCAAAUUCAUAGACUCUUUAUUCGCUGUCCAACCAAAACUUCUUAUAUUAUUAUUCCCACACUUCCAGCACUCUUGUAGUAUUUCCUUAACUGGGUGUGUCUCAGAAUGUCCUUUCAUAUUAAUCCAAUAAUUCAUUGUUAAUUUUAACUUGCGUAUACACAUGGGCAUUUCUCCCACCUCCAUUUGCGCUGCUGUUAUUGGAGAGGAUACAAAAGCACCACAACAUAUUCUUAACAAUUGUGCCUGUACUGUUUCAAUUUUCCUCAUCAAGGCUAAUGAUGCAGACCCAUAUAUUAUAUAUCCAUAAUUCAGUAGUGACCUGAUCAAUGCACAAUAUAUUUGUUAUGAAGAUUUUUGACUAGCUCCCCAUUCCAUUCCUGCUAGACAUCUUAAUAAAUUAUUAAUUUUUUUGUUUAUUUAUAUAUAUUAUGACUGGUUAAUUGCUGUCUGGAAAGCAUGAAUCACAGAUCGAGCUUUUGCUGAUGUAAAUGGUGCCAUGGAACAGUUAAAACGUAGUCAUAAUAAUCACUAAGGCCUUGUAUAUAUUUCCAGGUUGCCAAGGGCAAACUGCUUUAUGUUUGUGUUCAUGUAUGUUUCAGUGACAGCAGAUGGCAGUGAAGAGAAGCAGCGUUAUUAGAUUAGACAUUCCCAAACUAGAUGUGUUUGUGGACAGUGGGGAUCUGUUCUCUGAUAUGCUGGGACACGUGAUAGGACUGACGGAAAGUCCCAGCUUUAUUUAUACUCAACAUCAUUCUGGGUUGUUCCCCUCAUACCAGUCAACGCUUUUAAUAAGAAGAAUUUGAACCUGUUUCACUAAAUUUUAAUGUUUAUGUGCGUCAGAACCUUUUUUUCAGCACAGAUAAUAAAAAACUGCACAACUUAAACACAGAGAGUAGUGUAUACAGGUAAGUGACACUCAGUGCCCCUGCUUUUUUUUUUUUAAGUUAUCAUUUGCUAGAAAAGAAACUCUCUAGAUUUUACCGGGCUGAUUGCUCAGAUUUAUUACUUCCUACACUGUCAGUCAAAUGUUUACCUUUUUUGGUUAAACUUAAAGAAAUGAGUUAAAUACCAUAGAAUUACAGACACAUACACUCACCAUCCAGUUUAUUAGAAAGAUCUGUACACAGGAGUCAUUCGUGCAGUUAUCCAGUCAGCCAAUCAUGUGGCAGCAGCACAAUGUAUAAAAUCACGCAGAUACAGGUCAAAAGCUUCAGUUCUCUGUAAACUUUAGAGAGACUGUUGUGUGUGAAAAUCCCAGGAGAUCAGGAGUUUCUGAAAUAUUCAAAUCAGCCCCUCUGGCAGCAACAACCAUGCCACAUUUAAGGUCACAGGGAUGCCCCCCCAAUUCUGAUGCUUGACAUUAACAUUAACUGAAGCUCUUGAUCUGUAUCUGCAUUAUUUUUUGCAUUGAACUGUUGCCACAUGAUUGGCUGAUUGGUUAACUGCAUGAAUGAGCAGAUGUACCUAUUAAAGUGGAUGACAUGUUUUGUGUUACACUUGACAAUAUGUCUAAUAUCAACUGUAAGAUCAGUGUAGACUUAGAGUAACAUCUCCAUGGCACCAGUACUUUACUUAUGGAUCUGUGAAAGAUGAAGACAGAAGCCACAUUGAGAGAGAUAAAGGAGUGGCUGGCACACCCGUGUCACACACUUCAAAGCCGGGCAAGGAGGAGCAGGAACCGGCUGAACAUAAACGUAAAGUUCAAUAAUAAAAAAAUCUCAAACAUAAUGUAAAACACACAAACGUAGGCCAAACACAAAGCACACAUGUGUCUCUCUCCCACUGGUGCUUCAAGCCGCUCCUUUAUCUCUCUCUCCUCACACCCUGGCUUCUCCCUUCUCCCCGUCACAUGAACAUUGGGACCUGAAAAUGCUGCAGAGUAUUAAAAUAUCAUAAUAAAUGAAUACAUGAACCUUUGUACAACUAUUAACUGUCCAAUUCACAAUAUAGCAGAAAAAUGAUCAAUAAACUAACUUUUUUUUUUUUAGCAAAUACAUGUCUAUAAAUGUCUAUCCUUCAUUUGUGUUUAUUUGCUGAUCUGCCAGAUUUGUUGUGUACAGCAAAUAAAGAUGAUUACAAGAUAAGAUAAUUCUACUGUAUUUCUCAAGAACAUUGUUAUUCCAUUGUUAUUGCGAGGUUACCGAUUCACAUGAAGCUCAUUUUACUUAUAAGGAUGGAAAUUAGCUAAUUAGUUCAAUCAGCUAUGUUAGGAGCAUGUAAAACACUAAAAUGCACAGGACAGAGGGUACUCCAUGACCAGGUCUGGGAAUCUGUGCCAUAGAGUGUGUUUUUUUUGUUUGUUUGUUUGUUUUUUAAAUGUAAAUGUUCAAUACACAUGUAUGCAAAAAAAAAAAGAAAAGUUUAUACAUACACCUUAAACAGUUCAAUAACAACUCACCAUAUACUACAUGUCUGAACACUGAUUAUUAAUUAUUAACCUCAAGUUAUUUUUAUGUCUUAUCCCCAGGUGUAGGAUGUAAACUAUUUAAACAUAGCAUAUCUAAUUAUUCCCCUUUCAUACAAUAUGGCCAGAUGUUUGUGGACACCUGACUAUCACAGCCAUAUGUGGUUCUUCCCAAAACUGUUGCCAGAAAGUUGGAAGCACACAAUUGUAUAGAAUGUCUCUGGAUGCUAUAGCAUUACGAUUUCCCUUCACUGGAAAUAAGAGGCCCAAACCUGCUCCAGCAUGACAAUGCCACAGCAAAUGGGGACUAAAACUGGAAAGGAAUGUUCAAGAAGCACAUAUGGUGUGAUGGUCAGGUGUCCACACUUUUGAUGUAGUGUAUUUAAAUAUAGUAUAUAUAAUUAUUCCCCCUUUCAUAUAUUCAGAACUGCUGAAGAUUACUUUACAAACUAGUCUUCGCAGCAGGUCUCUGCGGAUGUCACACGCCUUUGGCCUUGCCUUAUCACAGAACUGCCAGUCCAUAUUUAUCAGUCUGAUACAGUACACACCAAAUACCAGAGAAUCCAAUGGCUGAUACAGCACCCACCAAAUUCUAAUUUUCAUAUAAUUUGACUGCUAAACAAAGCAGACGAUUUGGCAUCAGUAAACCAGAACAGAAUUUGCAUUUGUUUUGCAUACUUUUGGCAAAGGCAUUCUUUCAAGGCGUGUUCCCAUGCUUUGAAAGAUCAAGUGUGAUAUUAUUGUGGAGACACGAAAUAAAUUUGAGCUCUUAUAUGGAAAAUAAACUCAAAUAAUAUCAAUCACCAUAUAUCAACAAUACAGUAUAUAAUACAGUGGCAAUAUGGUAAGUUAACAAACUCUGUGACAUCUUAAAGAUGUUUUUCACAAAAGCAGAAGUCAUUAAUAUGCUGGUUUUGAGAGGCUUUUCUCACUUGUGCACACACUGCACAAAAGAGCUGCAACAACUAAUCAAUAAAAUCGAUAAUAAUCGAUUAUGAAAAUCAUCAAUGAAUCUCAUUAUCAAUUAGUUGGUCUGCGCACGGCACAGGGGAGAUUUACUCAUUAUGUUACUUCCAUCCAUCCUCUAUACCACUUUAUCCUUUUCAGGGUCACAGGGAACCUAUCCCAGUGAGCAUUGGACACAAGGCCGGGUAUACCCUGGACUGGGCAGGGUACAGUCCCAUACACACUCACACACCCAUUUAUACACUUUGGACAUGCCAAUCAGCCUACAAUGCAUGUCUUGACUGGGGGAGGAAACCGGAGUACCCGGAGGAAACCCCCGCAUCACGGGGAGGACAUGCAAACUCCGCACACACAGGGACAAUCGAGUUGCAAGACCUUCAGUGAAAUAACCAAGUAAUUCGAUUAAGCCAGAGGUUCUCAACCUUUUGCAACUAAAGCCCCCUCAAAACCUUCCCUAUCAUGUGGCACAAAAAAAGUCGCUAAAGGGGUCUGAAAAGUCGCUACGUUGCCAACAGUGGUCUGCACUCACAGCUAGAUAAAAGGCAGGCUAAGCUCCACCUCUCCCCAGCAAUAAAAAAUACAGAGGGAGAGAGAACGCAGAGUUUUUCCAUUUCUGCACAUUCUAUUUGAAAAGCAGUAAAAUACACAGAGUACCCAAAUGAUGCCCUGUCUGUGAAUUCUAAAAACAUUUGCGCCCCCCUUCUGGUCUCGGCGCUCCCCACUGGUUGAGAACCACUGUAUUAAGCUAUUUAGGAUAAUGGUUAAGUUUGUUUAAGUGUCUGUAUAAUCUCCAUAUACCAUACAGGUGGAGUAUACAAAAUAUUUAGAAAACAAAUACAUCUCGUACUAUAAUGUCCACAUGCAGCUAGAACUAAGCUUUCUGAUUACAUAGUAACUCUGGAUGGCCUUUCUGUUUCAUCAUGUGCAGUAGUAAAAGACCUUGGUGUGAUUAUUGACUCCAGUCUUUCAUUUAAAGCUCAUGUAGAUAAUAUUACUAGGAUGGCCUUCUUUCAUCAUAGAAAUAUUGCUAAAUAAGAAAUAUAAUGUUUCUAAGGCACUACACAAGGCAGAAAAAUUAGUUCACGUUUUUGUUACCUCUAGUUUGGAUUAUUGCAAUGUCUUACUGUCUGGAUAUUCCAAUAGGAGCAUAAACAAACUCCAAUUAGUCCAGAAUACAGCUGCAAGAGUCUUUACUAGAACCAGAAGAUAUGACCACAUCACCCCUAUCUUAUCCACACUACAUUGGUUACCACGCAAACUUCGUACUGAUUAUGGUCAAUAUUAUACUGAAUGGUCUCACUCCACAGUACCUGAUCAAACUUUUGGUACUUUAUGAUUCACCAAGUCUACUCGAUCAAAAGGUGCAGGUCAUUUGUUGGUACCUUGAAUAGUGAAGGAUACAGCAGGGGGUAGAGCUUUCUCUUACAAAUCCACACAGUUAUGGAACAGUCUUCCAAUUAGUGUUUGGGAAUCAGACACAGUCUCAUUUUUAAGUCAAGAUUAGGUCAAGGCUUUUGUAAAUAUUUUUUUCUUAGUUAAAAGAGCAGUUCUGGAGGGUUCAUGGACCAAUUGUUGUGGUGAAUUGGGAUGUUUGGAUGCUGUCGCCCCCACUCUUAAGUGUUCACUCAUACUUUAUGUCGCAGGGCACCCUCAUGUCUGUGUUGCCUUCUGGCUCUCCCUUUUAGUUAUGCUGUCAUAGCUAGUCUUGUUGGAGUCCCUGCUUGCACUCUGCACACAAAGUACAUUGUCCUUAACCAUUACAAGACAAUAAUCCUAACAAAAAUACCUAAUAAUCUCCCAUCUCUCUCCCUUCCUCUCUCACUCUCUUUCUGUUGGGCUACACAUGCUACUCCUGAGAUAUCAGUGAUUCUGCUCUACGGACCUGCCUGAUCCAUCCUGAUGCCCUACUUCUAGCUGGAGUUCUUAAUCAAAUGGACAUCACUUGCUGCUGCUGAGGAUGGCCCCACAUGGUGCAGCCUAAACAUAAUUUAGAUUACUGAGUAUGGUACCACUUAAACAACCAUGAAAAUGGCUCUGGGCCACAAUUCAUAUAAACGGUUAUGCUAUGAUGGCUUAGGACUACAAUGGCUAUGAUAGCUUUAGGACUGCAAUUGCCACAAACAGUUUUGCACUCCAAGUCUAUCAGUGAACAGUGGAUUUCAAGAACACAUACUUAGUGUAAAAAUCAUGUUAGUGAAGUUCAACAAAACAGACUUCAUGUAAAA
Ictalurus punctatus (channel catfish) is the source of this 7834-nucleotide long non-coding RNA. The record is from Ensembl. Lineage: Eukaryota; Metazoa; Chordata; Actinopteri; Siluriformes; Ictaluridae.